UAGUGCAGGGAUUUGUUGAUUUUGUGUGAAUUUCCAUGAUAAUUCACAAGAAACUGGAGGAACUCAUUGAUACAAUUUGGCAGUAAACAGAUAAAAACUGUAUUGAUUUGAUUAACAACAUAAUAUCUAAACACAGUUAGUGUUUAGUCAAAGAUUAAGGGGGGCACAUAACAAGCUAUGGCGGGUCGGAUUUGGCCCACGUGCCUUCAGUUUGACACACGUGAUUUAGACUGUUCACCACUGUUCCAUGUUUUGAGUCUCAAAGCCUUUAAAAAUUUACUUAGCAAUCCUUUUGUAAGGUUACUUUUCAAUCUAUUUUUAUAUUUUAUGACCACAGCGUGAUGUGUUGCUAUUUCAAAUUUCUGUAAUCCACUUCCUGUUGUCAAACUGGUUCUAUUUAACCCUUCUAGGCUGAACGUGUCAGCGAUGAUCCAGUCAAAUUUGCAGUACCGUAAUUCCAUCACACUUUGCGCCAUCUGAAAAAUAUCAACGGUUUCUGAAAGGGGAGACGUUGCGUUUCCAGCCAAUAUCGGGUUAUUACGGUAAUUUCACUCCCACCCUAGCAGGGAGUGAAAUUAAUAUGAUGAAACACUUUUAUUAGAUGGUAAAUUACGGAAAAUAACGGCUAGAUAUUGAAGGUUCCAGUUUAUGGAAAAAUGGGCAAAUAUAUUUACUCACAGGACAUUUAAAGAACUGCAUACAAUUAAAAUAAACUAAAAUAUCCAGGCGGACUCAAAGGUUUAAGCAGCUUUUUAUUCUACAGGUCUCCUUUUCUACACAGUAGCAAAGCUGGUUUAGACAACAUUUACUUCCUUCAAGUCGUCAUUUGAGGGAAAAUAUCUGAUAUAAAAAUGUAAACUGUACAUUUAAAACAUAACUUUUGUGUUUAGAUUAAAUAAGUCAAGAAAUGGUCACUUGUAAAUAUCGGCUGAGUAGAAACUAGUUACAAUUAUUUGAGUAACAUUUUGGAUAAGAUGCAUUUUUAAGAGUAUCUUUACUAAGCUGAACUUUUUACUUUUUAAAAAAAAGUAAAAAUGCAUUUAUUUGGAAAGCAAAUUUGGAAAGCAAAAUUUCCACAUAAGCUUACAUUUUGGUCCAUUUGAUUAUGUAACUUUUAAAUUUUAAGUUAAUACUGUUUAGAUCAAGUAAUUAUUUUUUACUCUUGAAUAUUUCUACUAAAAAUAUGUUAAAGCAGUUCUACUCUUACUUGAGUGUAAUUUUUGCAUACUCUACCUCUGCCUGUAAAUAUAUUAGAGCAAAUAGUUUUUCCAAAAUGACACAACAUGAACCGGUGAUUAAUUACACCCUGUCUGACAAAAUGUUGCUGAUGUGAAUCAAAACAUUAACCUAAGCUUGCACAGCACUCAUUCUGAGAAGGAACGCUGAAGGAAGGCUGCGAUCACAAGCCGGGACCUGUUGGACUGCGCUCAGUCCCGGCCGGUACCUGACUCUGAAUGAGUGAGUGAGACGGCCCACGCUUUAUCCACUGUUAACAUCGUAGUUAAUCAUCAGAUGGCGGCAUUCCUCCUUCUUGACUCAAGCUCCAACACAAAGCUCCCGCUUGUCCACGUCGGCUUGUUUUGCUAUUUUUCAGACGUUACUCAGAGCUCAGCUAGCUCAGGAAUAGUCAUUGUCAGGAGCUGUAAAAAUGUGAGGGUCUUUUCUCCUGCGGGGACGCAGGGCGAUGUGCUGCCCUCCGCUGAUGAGGACGACUUAAGUAAACAUGAGAUAGUCAUACACAAACAGCGCGGUGGCAACAUUCACCCUCUGAUUAUCUGUCAGAUUUGACCGAGUGAGCUCAUUCCUGCUGUAUGUUCGUCAAUGUACAUCUCAUUGAAUUCAGAACAAUCCAACAGCAGCAGACCGUUAAACAAUGCAGAGAGGAUGAUGUUAUCGAGCUGAGGAGAGAUGCUGGAAAAAUUUCAGUGUGCACGUCGUAGAUGUGAUAUCUCUGUUUGUGCUACAGACGCACAGCAGCUCUACAGCCAACGCUUUUAUUCACAGCAGAAUCCAGACUCAGUUUCAGAUGAAGAUCCAAAUUUAAAGAAUAUAAACAACAAAGGAGUGAAAAAUAUAUUUACUGUGGUCAGGCCGAAAUAUGGACACUGAAAACGGAUGGAUGGAUGGAUGGAUGGAUGGAUGGACAAACAGAUGGAUGGAUAAACUGACAGACUGUGCUGAAAGCCAGCAAAUCUGCAAAUUAAUCAUUUCAACAGAUAAUUGAUAUUUUCUAUAGUUGUUUUUUGCUUUUCUUCCACUUUCUGACCCGACAUCUUGCUCCCAAUAAAAUACAUCUAGAGACUAAUAUUGCCAAUACUUAGUUUUACUCCAUCUUUAGUUUGGCACAUCAGAAAAAUUAAUCACGUGGACAAGACUGAGUCCAAAAUAUCGGGAAAAGAUGACGCCGGCCUUGUGUGUCUAACCAAAGGAGAAAAUAAACGUUGAAUUUCACAUAACGGUUUACGUUUCAAAUCCUCCUCACAAAUCGAAUGUCUCUCUCCUGUCUGCCACCUAACACUGAUCUCUGUCUGCCUUGUGUUCAGUGACAGUCAUGACUAAUGGGUUGCACGUGAACUUAAAGGUAUUUUCCAUAAUGUGUCUUCCUGGUAUCUCUGCAUCCCUGAUAAAGGUCACAGAAGCAGAUUCUCCACCUUCUUUACAGCAGCUGUAACCACGUCAGAACUGAAUUUUACUGAUUAUUACUGUAUCAUCUCACCUGUGUAGCUGGUUGAAAAGGAGUUUCUACGUGCUUGGAGCACCCCUCAGAUGAAGGCAUAUAGAUUGUGCAAUCUGACUGAGAAAAAGAGGAAUUUCCCUCUAUUUUGAGGAACAUUUUUAUCAUACCAACCUCUGAGAGGCCCUGGAAAGAAACGCACACCCAAACAGAUUAACUGAAGGUAGGGUUACACCUUGAGAUUACCGUCUGUGCCUAGUCAUGUCACGCUCAUUAAGUUUCCAUUGUCUAUCUAGAUGCACACACAUCCACUCAAUCUUCAUGUUUUUGUUAAUUCACACGCUGUUAUCCAAACUCACAGUCCCAUCAGGAAGCGCAUGUGUUGGGGCUUUGCCGCCAACCAAGGCUUGAUCUGUUACAUAUUACCACACUGUGUACUACAACACAGACGUCGUCUUGUGUGCCUGUUAGGUAUACAGAGGUGAAAUUUUUAUGAUUUUAUGGAUACUGUAGUCAGCUCGGUUUUAAGAUAAAGUUUAUCUUAUCUUCGCAGCGGUGGAUGGUCGAUCUGAAUAACUGUCUGGUUUGAUUUUGAAGAUAAAUUUGACAUCGUUCAAAAGAAGGCAUUGAUGCUGUGGUUCAUUACCUACAAGCAAUCACAUGGCAUUAACUAGGUGCAUUUAAGCUUGGAGAUGUAGUAGAUGGAGUUCAAACUGAACAGAAUGGGUAAGAGAAGAUUUUAAGGGGCUUUGAGCGUGGCGUUGUUGCUGGUGUUUCAGAAACCGCUGAUUCAGUCAUUUCCGUAAACCUCACAGGUUUGGUCAAACAAUGGUCAAAAAAGAGAAAUUAUCCAUAUAUGUGGAGAGAAAUGUGUUGUUGAAGUCAAAGGUCAAAUGGAUGGGAAUGUCUUGAACCUUGAAGCAGAUGGGAAGUUAAAGACCUCAACAGCCUAAGAUCCUUGAAUUUCUUAACUUGAGAUAUAAAGUCAUCCACAACUCGGAAAACCAUGAGAGUGGCUGACUCUCAUGCAGGUUGCUUCACAAUUAGUGAAUGCAGAGAAACAUGGCUUGAAGACAACAACAAGGUAAUAUAGUCAAUUUGAGACGUUGACGUUCCCAAAAUAUGUAACCUUCUCUCCAUGAACACUGCAGAAACAAGAGGCAUCCCUGGAGGAGUGCAAGACCAAACCUAGCUCCUCUGCUUUUAGAGCAUUUGGACAUAUUUUGGUCUGGUUACACAGAAAUUACACAGACCACUAAAAAAUUACUACAGCGCCCCAAUACUUUGGUAAAGCCUUCUCAAGAUCUGCGAAGCAUAUGUGGACUGGACAAUCAAAUCUCUAUGAUCCAUCAAAAACCUGAUUACUGUUCAUUUUAAGGUUUGACAGGCAUCAACUAAGUGCUACCAUUGCAAGUUUUCCCCCAGAGAACUUGAGAACCUGGUGGUUGUGGCGCUCGGCAGUCAUUCAUCCAGCAGCCCGUCCUGUUUUUGAGUUAAAAUUUUUUAAAAGUUGACAGGGAAUUUUAAAAUAUCACUUGAUAAUUAUGUGCUAUAGAAAGAUUGGAAGAAUAACACCUGAACAUCAAUUAUAAAGUUUUAAAAAUGCAAA
This is a long non-coding RNA of Xiphophorus couchianus (Monterrey platyfish), 4283 nucleotides long. RefSeq lists it as uncharacterized. NCBI's taxonomy places the organism in Eukaryota, Metazoa, Chordata, Actinopteri, Cyprinodontiformes, Poeciliidae. The record is from RefSeq and is a predicted model, not a curated record. The transcript has 2 exons.